CACAAUAAUAGCACACUAUGGCUAAAAGUAUGUGUACACCAUUUUUUAUUUCAGGUGAGGUUUUGUCCUCACCCAUCGCUAACGUGUGCAUAAAAUCAAGCACAUAGUCCUGAAAUCUACAUAGACAAACAUUGGCAUUACAAGAGGUUGUAAAGAAGAGCAGAGUGACAUUAAACAUGAAACUGAAAAAUGGAAGUGUAUAGGAGAAACAGUCCAGCUAGAAGUGGUAGGCCACACUUGGACCAGGACAUACAAUUCAUCUAUCAUUUGUUGCAUUAUUCACUACAGAGCUCUAAACUGCCUGUGGUAGCAACUCCAGCACAAGAACUGUGCCUCGGGAUCUUCAGGAAAUAGUUUUUCAAAUUCCAUGACUGUACACAAUCCUCACAUGCACAAUGCCAAGUGUUGGUUGGAAUAGUGGAAAUGGUGCCAGCUGUAAAAUUUGGUAAAGUGUUGAUGCCCUGGAGAUGUUUCACAGGGUUUGUGCUUAAGCCUCUUAAUUCCACUGAAGAGUCGACUUAAUGCUUAGAUAAUUGUGUGCUUAAAAUCUUAUGGUGGUCCCCUGGCAGGUACAGGGCACUACCAAAGGGGCCAGGUGACCUAGUCCCUACC
Non-coding RNA from Pelobates cultripes (western spadefoot toad), 612 nucleotides. The record is from the annotation of a GenBank genome assembly. NCBI's taxonomy places the organism in Eukaryota, Metazoa, Chordata, Amphibia, Anura, Pelobatidae.